RNAcentral lists this ribosomal RNA (495 nucleotides) under Scorpiops sp. 1 MV-2021. RNAcentral's name for it is "partial large subunit ribosomal RNA". It matches the Rfam family "Bacterial large subunit ribosomal RNA", at positions 1893 to 2629 of the family's 2925-position model. The record is from RNAcentral. Lineage: Eukaryota; Metazoa; Arthropoda; Arachnida; Scorpiones; Euscorpiidae.
AUUAAAAUCAAACCUGGCCCAAUGGCUAAUGUCAAUGGGCCGCGGGUAUUUUAACUGUGCAAAGGUAGCAUAAUCAUUAGUCUUUUAAUUUGAGACUGGAAUGAAUGGUUUAACUAAUUAAUUUUGUCUCAUUUUAAUACUUUGAAUUUUAUAUUUUAGUAAAAAAGCUAAAAUUUUCUUUAAAGACGAGAAGACCCUAUCAAGCUUUAUAAUUAGUUUUUAUACUCAAAAUAAAUUUAAAAUUAUUUUACUGGGGCAGUAAAUGAAAAAUUUUCAUUUAAUUAUUUUGAUAAAUUUAUCUUGUUAAACCAAAAAUUUUUUAAAAAAUAAUAAGUUACUGUAGGGAUAACAGCAUAAUUUUUUUAAAGAGAUCUUAUCAUCAAAAAAGUUUGUGACCUCGAUGUUGGAUUAAGAUACCUAAUUUACGCAAUAGUUAAAUAAGGGAGUCUGUUCGACUUUUAAAAUCUUCCAUGAUCUGAGUCAAAACCGGGAGAG